RNAcentral lists this ribosomal RNA (422 nucleotides) under uncultured bacterium. RNAcentral's name for it is "bacterial SSU rRNA". It matches the Rfam family "Bacterial small subunit ribosomal RNA", at positions 355 to 774 of the family's 1533-position model. The record is from RNAcentral.
UGAGGAAUAUUGGACAAUGGGCGCAAGCCUGAUCCAGCCAUGCCGCGUGCAGGAAGAAGCAUCUAUGGUGUGUAAACUGCUUUUGUACGGGAAGAAACACUCCUUCGUGAAGGAGCUUGACGGUACCGUAAGAAUAAGGAUCGGCUAACUCCGUGCCAGCAGCCGCGGUAAUACGGAGGAUCCAAGCGUUAUCCGGAAUCAUUGGGUUUAAAGGGUCCGUAGGCGGUUUAGUAAGUCAGUGGUGAAAGCCCACCGCUCAACGAUGGAACGGCCAUUGAUACUGCUAGAAUUGAAUUACAAGGAAGUAACUAGAAUAUGUAGUGUAGCGGUGAAAUGCUUAGAUAUUACAUGGAAUAACAAUUGCGAAGGCAGGUUACUACUUGUGGAUUGACGCUGAUGGACGAAAGCGUGGGGAGCGAACA